GGAGGAUCGUGUCUUGUUAGAGCAUAUUUCUCUUUUACUUCAGGACAGUGGGACCUUUCUGCGUGGUGCCGCACGGUCUCCGAGUGCACGCAAUCACAGCUUUGGAUGUGACAGCUGACAUCCAGCCACCCUCCUGCUGGCCAGCGCGCGGGGAGCCCGCGUCACGCGACGUGGCGAGCACCUCACAGCCCUGUAGGAACCAGGACCGUGAAUCUCGCUAGAGAAGAUAGCUCAACGAUGGGCACGGCUUUUUGGCUGACAGGACUUUUUGUUCCUCCUGGCAUCCUGGGCCUUCCCAAGAAGAUGCUGCAAAGGACCAAGACAUGAG
Molecule: long non-coding RNA, 328 nt
Filed under: Struthio camelus australis
Lineage: Eukaryota; Metazoa; Chordata; Aves; Struthioniformes; Struthionidae
Description: lncRNA (ENSSCUG00000005828.1)
Source: RNAcentral